AACUUUUGGCAAUGGAUCUCUUGGCUCUCGCAUCGAUGAAGAACGCAGCGAAAUGUGAUAAGUAAUGUGAAUUGCAGAAGUCAGUGAAUCAUCGAAUCUUUGAACGCACCUUGCGCCCUUUGGCUAUUCCGAAGGGCAUGCCUGUUUGAUUAUCAUGAACACCCCAACCUUCACGGUUCCUCGUGAUGGGCUUGGACUUGGGGGCUUUGUUGGCCUGUGGUCAGCUCUCCUCAAAUAAAUCAGCUCGCCAGUGUCUGGCGGCAUCAUGGGUGUGAUAACCAUCUACGCUUGUGAUCGCCUGCGAGGUAAACCUCUGGUCUGCAGAGGUUCGCUGGAGCUUAUAGAUGUCUCUCCUCUGUGAAGACAGCUUUCUGAAGUUCGAUCUCAAAUCAGGUAGGACUACCCGCUGAACUUAAGCAUAUCAAUAAGCGGAGGCU
RNAcentral lists this unclassified non-coding RNA (437 nucleotides) under uncultured Thelephoraceae. RNAcentral describes it as "sequence contains ITS2". The stretch from base 1 to 155 matches the Rfam family "5.8S ribosomal RNA". Lineage: Eukaryota; Fungi; Basidiomycota; Agaricomycetes; Thelephorales; Thelephoraceae. The record is from RNAcentral.